Molecule: long non-coding RNA, 269 nt
Filed under: Gossypium barbadense (sea-island cotton)
Lineage: Eukaryota; Viridiplantae; Streptophyta; Magnoliopsida; Malvales; Malvaceae
Description: long non-coding RNA (GBAR_LNC010210)
Source: RNAcentral
CUUAGUUCACAUAACAUACUUAUGUCCAAUGCCAUAAAGUGUUAAGACCUAAUUUAAACAUGAUAACAUCACUUAAUACACAAGCUAAAUAAUAUGUUCAACUAUCAUGUAUUGAAAUUAAACAUAUCUCAAUCAAUAUGCUAAUUUCAUAACAAAAUUUCAAUAUAUAUAUACCCAAAUCAUAUUCUUACCACUUUCGGCUACCAAAUUUAAUCAUUAAAAUCAUACUAAUUACACCAUUCAACUUAAGUUAGAAAUUUACCGUUCGC